GAUAGCUCAGUCAGUAGAGCACAAGACUCUCAAUCUGAGGGUUGUGAGUUCAAGCCCCAUGUUGGGCA
Molecule: transfer RNA, 68 nt
Filed under: Podarcis lilfordi (Lilford's wall lizard)
Lineage: Eukaryota; Metazoa; Chordata; Lepidosauria; Squamata; Lacertidae
Description: tRNA.Glu
Source: RNAcentral